This 712-nucleotide ribosomal RNA is filed under the name uncultured soil bacterium. Its description in RNAcentral is "bacterial SSU rRNA". It matches the Rfam family "Bacterial small subunit ribosomal RNA", at positions 8 to 699 of the family's 1533-position model. The record is from RNAcentral.
AGAGUUUGAUCCUGGCUCAGAGCGAACGCUGGCGGCGUGCUUAACACAUGCAAGUCGAACGUGAAAGGGAGCAAUCCUGAGUAAAGUGGCGUACGGGUGAGUAACGCGUAGGUAAUCUACCCCAGAGUCUGGAAUAACCUGCCGAAAGGCGGGCUAAUACUGGAUAGAGCGACGGAAUCCGUAAUUGGGUUUUUCGGGAAAGGGAGGAAGCAAUUCCCUUCGCUCUGGGAUGAGCCUGCGUCUCAUUAGCUAGUUGGUAGGGUAACGGCCUACCAAGGCUAUGAUGGGUAGCUGGUCUGAGAGGAUGAUCAGCCACACUGGAACUGAAACACGGUCCAGACUCCUACGGGAGGCAGCAGUGGGGAAUCUUGCGCAAUGGACGAAAGUCUGACGCAGCCACGCCGCGUGAGUGAAGAAGGCCUUCGGGUUGUAAAGCUCUGUCGAGCGGGACGAAAAAUUUUUAGGUGAAUAGCCUAGAGAUCUGACGGUACCGCUAAAGGAAGCACCGGCUAACUCCGUGCCAGCAGCCGCGGUAAUACGGAGGGUGCAAGCGUUGCUCGGAAUUAUUGGGCGUAAAGGGUAGGUAGGUGGUCUCAUUUGUCUGGGGUGAAAGCCUUGGGCUUAACUCAAGAAGUGCCCCAGAAACGGUGAGACUGGAGUCCUGGAGAGGGUCGUGGAAUUCCCGGUGUAGCGGUGAAAUGCGUAGAGAUCG